This 478-nucleotide ribosomal RNA is filed under the name uncultured bacterium. RNAcentral describes it as "partial 16S ribosomal RNA". It matches the Rfam family "Bacterial small subunit ribosomal RNA", at positions 28 to 507 of the family's 1533-position model. The record is from RNAcentral.
GAUUAACGCUGGCGGCGUGCAUAACACAUGCAAGUCGAACGAUGAAACUCAUUAUUUUUCUUCUGAAUGAAAAUGAAUGGAUUAGUUGCGACCUGGUGAGUCACCCGUUAGUAACCUGCCUUACACAAGGGGAUAGCCUCUGUAAACGGUGAAUAAUACCCUAUGAUACCAGACAAUCGCAUGAUAAUCUGGUCAAAAUGUUUAGCGGUGUAUGAUGGACUUGAGUAUGAUUAGCUAGUUGGUGAGAUAAAAGCUCACCAAGGCAACGAUCAGUAGCCGGAGGGAGAGAGUGUACGGCCACAUUGAGACAGAGACAAGACCCAGACGCCUACGAGAGGCAGCAGUGGGGAAUUAUGCACAAUGAGGGAAACGCAGAAGCAGCGAGGCAGCGUGAAUGAGAAGGCGGUCGGAUUGUAAAAAUAGUUUGGAUAGGAAGAAAAUGACAGUACUAUAAGAAUAAGGGCCGGCUAAUUACGUG